Molecule: unclassified non-coding RNA, 307 nt
Filed under: plant metagenome
Description: partial contains 5.8S ribosomal RNA, internal transcribed spacer 2, and large subunit ribosomal RNA
Rfam family: 5.8S ribosomal RNA (bases 1-105)
Source: RNAcentral
GAAAUGCGAUAAGUAAUGUGAAUUGCAGAAUUCAGUGAAUCAUCGAAUCUUUUAACGCACAUUGCGCCCGCCAGCACUCUGGCGGGCAUGCCUGUUCGAGCGUCAUUUCAACCCUCAGAACCCCUUGCGGGAUCUGGCGUUGGGGAUUGGCAUCCAGCCAGCCCCGAAAUCUAGUGGCGGUCCCUCCGCGACCUCCCCUGUGCAGUAGCGAUACCUCGCAGCGGGACAGCGGUCUGACCACGCCGUAAAACCCCCAACUUCUCAAGGUUGACCUCGAAUCAGGUAGGAAUACCCGCUGAACUUAAGC